Molecule: RNA transcript, 285 nt
Organism: Fundulus heteroclitus (mummichog)
Lineage: Eukaryota; Metazoa; Chordata; Actinopteri; Cyprinodontiformes; Fundulidae
Exons: 3
Source: RefSeq, a predicted model, not a curated record
CCACCAUCUCUGCACGUAAACCUAGAUCACUGCCAUGGACACAAUGGCCUGCUGACAGUCGAAGGAAAUAUUAUAGAACUGUCUACAGUGAAGAAGAUCCGGAGGGGUAGGGAGGAGAUCCCUCUUCGUGAGCUGAAGCUGCAGGAGGGAGAAACCUGUGUUUCUGUCACCCUAUGGAGGGAAGCAGCCAUUGAAAAGCUGGAGAUGGACUCCUAGUGCAGGCUGACUCACCUACGGGCAUGUGAUGGUGAAGGAUCGCCCCUGCAAUCUACAGGGUUCAGCAAG